Molecule: non-coding RNA, 73 nt
Organism: Myotis brandtii (Brandt's bat)
Lineage: Eukaryota; Metazoa; Chordata; Mammalia; Chiroptera; Vespertilionidae
Source: Rfam
GGCCUGGAAGCUCAGUUGGUUAGAGUGUUGGCCUGAUACACCAAGGUUUCAGGUUCAAUCCCUGGUCAGGGCA